RNAcentral lists this unclassified non-coding RNA (415 nucleotides) under Arabidopsis thaliana (thale cress). Lineage: Eukaryota; Viridiplantae; Streptophyta; Magnoliopsida; Brassicales; Brassicaceae. The record is from RNAcentral.
UGUCAUCUUUUUUAGCCGCGUCGUCUUCGUCACCGUCUCUUAGAUCUGUCGCCGUUUCUAUAUCUCAGUUGGAAUUCAUGUUCUCAGAGAUGAAAGGGAGGGAUUGUUGGGAAAUGGAUACAAUUUUUUCGUCGGAGCGUUGGAUCUGAGGCUCUUGGACAGUAGAAGGGAGGAAUCUGUCACGGUGACGAAUCAAGUUGAGAACUUUAAACUAGGAGUUAGGAGAAGAAGAUUUGGGGACAAAACAUAGGUUUACAUCCAUGUGAUACAAGAAUACGUCAUCGGUGAUAUUAUACAACAUUAAAAAUUACAUGGAGAAGAAGUUUCAAAAGUUGGAGGUCUAAAGAGUGUGAAGAAUUCACAAAGUUAUAAGUACAAGAGUAGUAUGAAACUAUCUUUUAAUUUGUAUUUUACU